AGUGAACGCUGGCGGUAGGCCUAACACAUGCAAGUCGAACGGCAGCACAGUAAGAGCUUGCUCUUACGGGUGGCGAGUGGCGGACGGGUGAGGAAUACAUCGGAAUCUACUUUUUCGUGGGGGAUAACGUAGGGAAACUUACGCUAAUACCGCAUACGACCUACGGGUGAAAGCAGGGGAUCUUCGGACCUUUCGCGAUUGAAUGAGCCGAUGUCGGAUUAGCUAGUUGGCGGGGUAAAGGCCCACCAAGUCGACGAUCCGUAGCUGGUCUGAGAGGAUGAUCAGCCACACUGGAACUGAGACACGGUCCAGACUCCUACGGGAGGCAGCAGUGGGGAAUAUUGGACAAUGGGCGCAAGCCUGAUCCAGCCAUACCGCGUGGGUGAAGAAGGCCUUCGGGUUGUAAAGCCCUUUUGUUGGGAAAGAAAAGCAGCAGGUUAAUACCCCGCUGUUCUGACGGUACCCAAAGAAUAAGCACCGGCUAACUUCGUG
Molecule: ribosomal RNA, 492 nt
Filed under: uncultured bacterium
Lineage: Bacteria
Description: partial 16S ribosomal RNA
Rfam family: Bacterial small subunit ribosomal RNA
Source: RNAcentral